RNAcentral lists this ribosomal RNA (592 nucleotides) under Acestrorhynchus falcatus. RNAcentral describes it as "partial 16S large subunit ribosomal RNA". It matches the Rfam family "Bacterial large subunit ribosomal RNA", at positions 1808 to 2607 of the family's 2925-position model. The record is from RNAcentral. Lineage: Eukaryota; Metazoa; Chordata; Actinopteri; Characiformes; Acestrorhynchidae.
CAAAAACAUCGCCUCCCGCAAAAAUCAAAGUAUAGGAGGUCUUACCUGCCCAGUGACACAUGUUAAACGGCCGCGGUAUUUUGACCGUGCUAAGGUAGCGCAAUCACUUGUCUUUUAAAUGAAGACCUGUAUGAAUGGUGAAACGAGGGCUUAACUGUCUCCCCUUUCAAGUCAAUGAAAUUGAUCUGCCCGUGCAGAAGCGGACAUAAUUAUACAAGACGAGAAGACCCUUUGGAGCUUAAGACACAAAAUUAACUGUGUUUUAAUAUCUAAACAAAAUAGAUACAAGCAAAACAGCACUAAUUCCACUCUUCAGUUGGGGCGACUGUGGGGGAAAAAAAAGCCCCCAUGUGGACUGGGAUAAUUCCCGAAACUAAGAGGGACACCUCUAAGUCACAGAACAUCUGACCAAUACAGAUCCGGCAAUUAGCCGACCAACGAACCAAGUUACCCUAGGGAUAACAGCGCAAUCCCCUCCAAGAGUUCUUAUCGACAAGGGGGUUUACGACCUCGAUGUUGGAUCAGGACAUCCUAAUGGUGCAGCCGCUAUUAAGGGUUCGUUUGUUCAACGAUUAAAGUCCUACGUGAUCUG